RNAcentral lists this long non-coding RNA (1427 nucleotides) under Zonotrichia albicollis (white-throated sparrow). RNAcentral describes it as "lncRNA (ENSZALG00000011439.1)". The record is from RNAcentral. Lineage: Eukaryota; Metazoa; Chordata; Aves; Passeriformes; Passerellidae.
AUGGAAUUUGUUCACAGCUUGACUAUACAUCUUCCUGGUCCUGGCCUGUGGCAUAACCUAUCUGUACAGCACUUCCACAGCAGUCAGCUCCUGAGAAUCAACUUUUUCUCCCUCAGUAUGUCCCUUGCAGAUGUUCAACUUCCUAAUUGGUCUCUGAGGAUUUGCUUUUUACCUGCAGACCAGGAGCAGAGAGACUCAUCACUGGAUUGCCCUGCGUGUGGUGUGAAAGCGGUUUUGGAGAAGUUGCAGGUACCCCAGGACAGCCUGCACCACCUGCCCUGUGCCACUGACAGCCUGUGCAGCCCCAAACCCCAGCCAGGAGAGGAAGAGGAGGUGGAGAAGGAAGGAGCAGAAACUUCAGACCCCCUUAGCUCCUUACUGCUUUGUCUUGCAAACCAAGGAGUUCCUUCAGCUCCCUGCUGCUGUCCUGCCGCUGCUGUGCCCCAGCACUGAGACUCAGCAUCCUCAGCACCAGGAGGAGAGACCAGGGCUGGCAGAUACACACCCAGAACUGCUGCAGGUGAGUCCAGCAAAUGACAUCUAUGGAAUCUGUGUAUCCUGAUCAGUGCUAUAACAGCACAGGUUUUGGGUUGUUUUUUUUUAACUGUCUCAUGCAUUUGGUUUUUCUCUAUGAGGGCAAUAUGUAUGUGAGAACUUCACUUCCAGGAGCUAGCAGAAUUUUUCCCCAGAUGGAAGUUCCUUGGUCAGUAACUGGGGCAGAGCCAGAAAGGUAUUAACCAUGCAGGAGCAGGAGGAAGUUUCCUUGCUGAGAAGGUUCCUUCAAACCCGUCAGCACAAAAGCCACCAGCUUCACCUCUGACCUCUCUAACCUUUAUCAAAUUUUCCAUCUGUGGCUGUUGCCUACAGAGCCAUUUUCAAGACUCUCUACGACUUGUUUUUUCCCCAAGAAUUACACUAACAAACUUGAUAAAUUUGAAAUUAUCAGUAGACUUAAAGACUUUGGGAGGUUAGUGUUUUGCUAAAAAAUCAGUGAAUAUGUGUUAAAGGGGAUUCUGGAAACUUUUCAGAAACUUAGCUGGUUUAAUUAUGAAAAAAUUACAUUUAACCAACACUUACAUAAAUCUGCAGACUUUGGACUACUUGUAUCUGACAGAGCUUUACAAAUAAGCUACAAUCAAUUCACAUGACAUUCUUUGUAACUACAGUUUGAAAUUGUCUAAGAAUAUGAAAUUAACUGAAAAAGCAGCCUUUUGUGCAUAAUGCUAAAAAAAAAUUAGCACUUUCCUCAGCUUAAGUCUGCAUGAUUUUGUCAAUUAUCUGUCUUAGCUCUGGAUGUGAAAUCAGUCACUUAAAAGCCCUGUGACAGGUGACAGAUUGUUCUUAGCAGACACACCUUUAGUUACUAAAGAGCUGAUGGUUUCUGAGGCUUAAAUAAAAACAAGUGCUCAAAUUCUGCUCCUCUGAAU